This 468-nucleotide ribosomal RNA is filed under the name uncultured bacterium. RNAcentral's name for it is "partial 16S ribosomal RNA". It matches the Rfam family "Bacterial small subunit ribosomal RNA", at positions 28 to 507 of the family's 1533-position model. The record is from RNAcentral.
GACGAACGCUGGCGGCGUGCUUAACACAUGCAAGUCGAACGGAAAGGCCCUGCACUUGUGGGGUGCUCGUGUGCCGAACGGGUGUGUAUCACGCGAGUAACCUGUCCCUGUCUUUGGGAUAACACCAGGAAACUGGGGCUAAAACCCGCUAGAAGAUCCUGAACCAUGGUGGGGGUUGGAAAAUUUCGGCGGUUGGGGCUCGACUCGCGGCUUAUGAGCUAGUUGGUGAGGUAGUGGCUUACCAAGGGUUUGAAGGAUAGCCUGCCUGGGAGGGUGAACGGGCACAAUGGGACUGAGAUACGGCCCAGACGGCAACGGGAGGCAGCAGGGGGAAAUAUUGCACAAUGGGCCGAAGCCUGAUACAACAAUGUCGCGUGCGGAAAGACGGCCUUCGGGGUAUAAACCGCUUUCGCCUGUGACGAAGCGUGAGUGACGGUAAUGGGUAAAAAAGCACCGGCUAACUACGUG